RNAcentral lists this ribosomal RNA (588 nucleotides) under Hepatozoon felis. RNAcentral's name for it is "bacterial SSU rRNA". It matches the Rfam family "Eukaryotic small subunit ribosomal RNA", at positions 468 to 1053 of the family's 1831-position model. Lineage: Eukaryota; Apicomplexa; Hepatozoidae. The record is from RNAcentral.
UGACAAGAAAUAACAAUACAAGGCAGUUAAAAUGCUUUGUAAUUGGAAUGAUAGAAAUUUAAACACUUUUUAAAGUAUCAAUUGGAGGGCAAGUCUGGUGCCAGCAGCCGCGGUAAUUCCAGCUCCAAUAGCGUAUAUUAAAAUUGUUGCAGUUAAAAAGCUCGUAGUUGAAUUUCUGUUAAAAAUAACCGGUCUGCUUUUAAUAAAAGUGGUAUCUUGGUGUGUUUUUAGCAAUAAUGUCCUUUGAAAUGUUUUUUACUUUAUUGUAAUAAAUAAUAUUCAGGAUUUUUACUUUGAGAAAAUUAGAGUGUUUCUAGCAGGCUAACGCUUUGAAUACUGCAGCAUGGAAUAAUAAGAUAGGAUUUUAGUUCUACAUUAUUGGUUUUAAGAACUAAAUUAAUGAUUGAUAGGGACAGUUGGGGGCAUUUGUAUUUAACUGUCAGAGGUGAAAUUCUUAGAUUUGUUAAAGACAAACUACUGCGAAAGCAUUUGCCAAAGAUGUUUUCAUUAAUCAAGAACGAAAGUUAGGGGAUCGAAGACGAUCAGAUACCGUCGUAGUCUUAACUAUAAACUAUGCCGACUAGAGAU